CGGCGUGCCUAAUACAUGCAAGUCGAGCGGACCUCUUCGGAGGUCAGCGGCGGACGGGUGAGUAACACGUGGGCAACCUGCCUGUAAGACUGGGAUAACUCCGGGAAACCGGAGCUAAUACCGGAUACUAUGUCAAACCGCAUGGUUUGACAUUCAAAGACGGUUUCGGCUGUCACUUACAGAUGGGCCCGCGGCGCAUUAGCUAGUUGGUGAGGUAACGGCUCACCAAGGCAACGAUGCGUAGCCGACCUGAGAGGGUGAUCGGCCACACUGGGACUGAGACACGGCCCAGACUCCUACGGGAGGCAGCAGUAGGGAAUCUUCCGCAAUGGACGAAAGUCUGACGGAGCAACGCCGCGUGAGUGAUGAAGGUUUUCGGAUCGUAAAACUCUGUUGUCAGGGAAGAACAAGUGCCGGAGUAACUGCCGGCGCCUUGACGGUACCUGACCAGAAAGCCACGGCUAACUACGUGCCAGCAGCCGCGGUAAUACGUAGGUGGCAAGCGUUGUCCGGAAUUAUUGGGCGUAAAGCGCGCGCAGGCGGUUUCUUAAGUCUGAUGUGAAAGCCCCCGGCUCAACCGGGGAGGGUCAUUGGAAACUGGGAAACUUGAGUGCAGAAGAGGAGAGUGGAAUUCCACGUGUAGCGGUGAAAUGCGUAGAGAUGUGGAGGAACACCAGUGGCGAAGGCGACUCUCUGGUCUGUAACUGACGCUGAGGCGCGAAAGCGUGGGGAGCGAACAGGAUUAGAUACCCUGGUAGUCCACGCCGUAAACGAUGAGUGCUAAGUGUUAGAGGGUUUCCGCCCUUUAGUGCUGCAGCUAACGCAUUAAGCA
RNAcentral lists this ribosomal RNA (832 nucleotides) under Bacillus sp. (in: firmicutes). RNAcentral describes it as "bacterial SSU rRNA". It matches the Rfam family "Bacterial small subunit ribosomal RNA", at positions 40 to 866 of the family's 1533-position model. The record is from RNAcentral. Lineage: Bacteria; Bacillati; Bacillota; Bacilli; Caryophanales; Bacillaceae.